AGAGAGAGCAAAGCAGCUUCA
This 21-nucleotide small nuclear RNA is filed under the name Arabidopsis thaliana (thale cress). RNAcentral's name for it is "snRNA_01183". The record is from RNAcentral. Lineage: Eukaryota; Viridiplantae; Streptophyta; Magnoliopsida; Brassicales; Brassicaceae.